This 308-nucleotide long non-coding RNA is filed under the name Trifolium pratense (red clover). RNAcentral's name for it is "long non-coding RNA (TPRA_LNC010634)". The record is from RNAcentral. Lineage: Eukaryota; Viridiplantae; Streptophyta; Magnoliopsida; Fabales; Fabaceae.
UUAAGGUUACUCCUAAGCUUUGAAGUACGGAGUUUACCGUGUGUGAUUCACUUGAAGCUUUUAAGCAAAAGUGAAGUAGUGUCUUGGUAAGUUGUUGUCACAUCNNNNNAUUAGUGGAUUUCCUUCCUGGAUUGGUAUCCCCCAGAGUAGGCAGUUGGCUGAACUGGGUUAACAAUUACUUGUGCAAUUUAUUUAUUUUCUGUCAGUAUUUUAUAUGUUAUAUAAGAUGUGCCAACAAUAAAAACAACAUUAUUCAUAAAGAAGUUGUUGGGACAUCUUGGGUAACAUCACUUUAGUGAUACCAGAAU